Molecule: ribosomal RNA, 402 nt
Filed under: uncultured bacterium
Lineage: Bacteria
Description: bacterial SSU rRNA
Rfam family: Bacterial small subunit ribosomal RNA
Source: RNAcentral
UGGGGAAUAUUGGACAAUGGGCGCGAGCCUGAUCCAGCCAUGCCGCGUGAGUGAUGAAGGCCCUAGGGUUGUAAAGCUCUUUCACCGGUGAAGAUAAUGACGGUAACCGGAGAAGAAGCCCCGGCUAACUUCGUGCCAGCAGCCGCGGUAAUACGCAGGGGGCUAGCGUUGUUCGGAAUUACUGGGCGUAAAGCGCACGUAGGCGGAUCGAUCAGUUAGGGGUGAAAUCCCGGGGCUCAACCCCGGAACUGCCUCUAAUACUGUCGAUCUGGAGUUCGAGAGAGGCGAGUGGAAUUCCGAGUGUAGAGGUGAAAUUCGUAGAUAUUCGGAGGAACACCAGUGGCGAAGGCGGCUCACUGGCUCGAUACUGACGCUGAGGUGCGAAAGCGUGGGGAGCAAACA